AAAUAAAGUGUUGUAUCCCAAGUGUAACAAACAACUUGAUUCAUGGGAAUGUGGGUACUAUGUGAUGUCUUGGAUUAAGACCAUCAUUCGAGCUGCCAUUACAGAUAAGUGGAAUGAGAACUUCAACAAUUCAUCUGCUCUAACCGAAGGCAUGAUAAGACAAAUA
This is a long non-coding RNA of Vigna radiata var. radiata (mung bean), 166 nucleotides long. RefSeq lists it as uncharacterized. The transcript has 3 exons. The record is from RefSeq and is a predicted model, not a curated record. NCBI's taxonomy places the organism in Eukaryota, Viridiplantae, Streptophyta, Magnoliopsida, Fabales, Fabaceae.